CUCCUAAGGUUUCACGUGGUAACCCACACUCAUAAUCUUCAUUUUCUUCUUUUUUUUUUCUUUUUUUUUUUUCCAUGUCUCAGACUUUUGUAUGUACAGAUUAAGGAAGUGCAUUGCUGUAGGCCACAUUGAGAGCUUCAGGAGCAGUUUGUCUUCUUGCUUCAUAAAGACAAAUCUAGGUUGAGUACUUGCUUUGUCUUCUUACAUAUUGAAAGCUUUUUCUUUACUCAUUCUCUCAAUCAAAGCUAACCAUGAAUUUUGAUUCAAGAUAGGGAGGGGCUGUGCGACACAGCCCCCCUUUUUUUUAGUUCAUUACCUUCUUUUUUUUUUUUUUACUAUGUUGCCCCUUAUUUUGUCUCUUUGCAAACAAAACACGAGAACAAAGUCAGCCACCAUUUUUUACUCCAUUCUUUCUUCUUCCUUACUCCUUUUUUUUCAAUCAAAGCAGACCAACAGAGGGAGGGAGGGUUGUGCGUCACAGCCCCCUUUUAUUGUUUUUUUCAACUCCUCUUUGUUUUGUUUCUUUGCAACAAAACACAACAAGCAAACCCACCAUUUUUCUUUUGCUCCGUUAUCUCUUCCUCCGCUGGCUCUCUUCUCCUUCUCUUUUUUUUAUCUUUUUUUUUUUCUUUGUUGACUUGCUGGCGGCAGGUGCCCAUAGGGAGGCAAUUCAAUUGCCGUGAGACCCUUUUAUUUUUAGAUGCUCCAUAUAGAGGUUUUUACACGCCCUCCUUCUUUGAUUUUGAUUCCAUAGUGACCCCCAUAUCCUCCUUAACUCUCCAUGAUUUGAGACAUCCCCUGCAUUUGGAAGCAUUUAACCGGAGUUGCCUGUUGGAAAUAUGAUGAUUGAAAUCAUCAUGGAAGACAAUCUUCCCUAUUGGUGGUGGACUGAAAACAUCGAUGGAAUUAUUUUAGCGGAGCCAAGCCUUGGAGAGAUUCUUAACUUUGUUUAUGAUGAUUGAAAUCAUCAUAGCCAAGAAUCUCUGUGGACUGAUUAAA
RNAcentral lists this long non-coding RNA (999 nucleotides) under Prunus dulcis (almond). Its description in RNAcentral is "sRNA ncRNA". Lineage: Eukaryota; Viridiplantae; Streptophyta; Magnoliopsida; Rosales; Rosaceae. The record is from RNAcentral.